GGGUCGGUAGCUCAGUUGGGAGAGCGCCUGGUUCGCAAUCAGGAGGCCGGGGGUUCAACUCCCCCUCGAUCCA
Molecule: transfer RNA, 73 nt
Filed under: Candidatus Omnitrophota bacterium
Lineage: Bacteria; Pseudomonadati; Candidatus Omnitrophota
Description: Candidatus Omnitrophica bacterium tRNA-Ala
Rfam family: tRNA
About the family: Transfer RNA (tRNA) molecules are approximately 80 nucleotides in length. Their secondary structure includes four short double-helical elements and three loops (D, anti-codon, and T loops).
Source: RNAcentral